UCCUAAGAGUUCCAAAGCCUCCCUACACAGG
This 31-nucleotide non-coding RNA is filed under the name Rattus norvegicus (Norway rat). Lineage: Eukaryota; Metazoa; Chordata; Mammalia; Rodentia; Muridae. The record is from RNAcentral.